Molecule: ribosomal RNA, 843 nt
Filed under: Priestia flexa
Lineage: Bacteria; Bacillati; Bacillota; Bacilli; Caryophanales; Bacillaceae
Description: bacterial SSU rRNA
Rfam family: Bacterial small subunit ribosomal RNA
Source: RNAcentral
AGUAACGCUGGCGGCGUGCUUAAUCACAUGCAGUCGAGCGAACUGAUUAGAAGCUUGCUUCUAUGACGUUAGCGGCGGACGGGUGAGUAACACGUGGGCAACCUGCCUGUAAGACUGGGAUAACUCCGGGAAACCGGAGCUAAUACCGGAUAACAUUUUCUCUUGCAUAAGAGAAAAUUGAAAGAUGGUUUCGGCUAUCACUUACAGAUGGGCCCGCGGUGCAUUAGCUAGUUGGUGAGGUAACGGCUCACCAAGGCAACGAUGCAUAGCCGACCUGAGAGGGUGAUCGGCCACACUGGGACUGAGACACGGCCCAGACUCCUACGGGAGGCAGCAGUAGGGAAUCUUCCGCAAUGGACGAAAGUCUGACGGAGCAACGCCGCGUGAGUGAUGAAGGCUUUCGGGUCGUAAAACUCUGUUGUUAGGGAAGAACAAGUACAAGAGUAACUGCUUGUACCUUGACGGUACCUAACCAGAAAGCCACGGCUAACUACGUGCCAGCAGCCGCGGUAAUACGUAGGUGGCAAGCGUUAUCCGGAAUUAUUGGGCGUAAAGCGCGCGCAGGCGGUUUCUUAAGUCUGAUGUGAAAGCCCACGGCUCAACCGUGGAGGGUCAUUGGAAACUGGGGAACUUGAGUGCCAGAAGAAGAAAAAGCGGGAAUUCCACGUGGUAGCGGUGAAAAUUGCGUACAGAUGUUUGGAGGGAACACCCAGUGGGCCGAAGGGCGGGCUUUUUUGGGUCUUGGUAACUGGACGGCUGAAGGCGCGAAAAGGCGUUGGGGGAGCCAACAGGGAUUAGAUUCCCUGGUAGUCAACCGCGUAACCAUGAGUGCUCAUGUUAAGG